CGCCCUUCAGGCCUAACACAUGCAAGUCGAGCGCGAAUGGAGCAAUCCUAGUAGAGCGGCGCACGGGUGCGUAACACGUGGAUAAUCUGCCUGGGUGUCUGGGAUAACCAGUCGAAAGACUGGCUAAUACCGGAUAAGCCCCCGGGAGCUUCGGCUCCUGAGGGAAAAGGUGGCCUCUGUAUACAAGCUAUCACAUCCAGAUGAGUCCGCGGCCCAUCAGCUAGUUGGCGGGGUAAUGGCCCACCAAGGCAACGACGGGUAGCUGGUCUGAGAGGACGAUCAGCCACACUGGAACUGAGACACGGUCCAGACUCCUACGGGAGGCAGCAGUGGGGAAUUUUGCGCAAUGGGCGAAAGCCUGACGCAGCAACGCCGCGUGUGUGAUGAAGGUCUUCGGAUUGUAAAGCACUUUCGACCGGGACGAAAACCCGUUGGCUAACAUCCAACGGCUUGACGGUACCGGGAGAAGAAGCACCGGCUAACUCUGUGCCAGCAGCCGCGGUAAUACAGAGGGUGCAAGCGUUGUUCGGAAUUAUUGGGCGUAAAGCGCGUGUAGGCGGCUUUGCAAGUCGGGUGUGAAAGCCCUCAGCUCAACUGAGGAAGUGCGCCCGAAACUGCAGAGCUUGAGUGCCGGAGAGGGUGGCGGAAUUCCCCAAGUAGAGGUGAAAUUCGUAGAUAUGGGGAGGAACACCGGUGGCGAAGGCGGCCACCUGGACGGUAACUGA
RNAcentral lists this ribosomal RNA (725 nucleotides) under uncultured bacterium. RNAcentral describes it as "bacterial SSU rRNA". It matches the Rfam family "Bacterial small subunit ribosomal RNA", at positions 34 to 743 of the family's 1533-position model. The record is from RNAcentral.